This 374-nucleotide ribosomal RNA is filed under the name uncultured organism. Its description in RNAcentral is "partial 16S ribosomal RNA". It matches the Rfam family "Bacterial small subunit ribosomal RNA", at positions 527 to 897 of the family's 1533-position model. The record is from RNAcentral.
GUAGGUGGCAAGCGUUGUCCGGAAUUAUUGGGCGUAAAGCGCGCGCAGGCGGUUCUUUAAGUCUGAUGUGAAAGCCCACGGGCUCAACCGUGGAGGGUCGUUGGAAACUGGAGAACUUGAGUACAGAAGAGGAAAGCGGAAUUCCACGUGUAGCGGUGAAAUGCGUAGAGAUGUGGAGGAACACCAGUGGCGAAGGCGGCUUUCUGGUCUGUAACUGACGCUGAGGCGCGAAAGCGUGGGGAGCAAACAGGAUUAGAUACCCUGGUAGUCCACGCCGUAAACGAUGAGUGCUAAGUGUUAGGGGGUUUCCGCCCCUUAGUGCUGCAGCUAACGCAUUAAGCACUCCGCCUGGGGAGUACGGCCGCAAAGGCUAA